Molecule: long non-coding RNA, 611 nt
Organism: Corticium candelabrum
Lineage: Eukaryota; Metazoa; Porifera; Homoscleromorpha; Homosclerophorida; Plakinidae
Exons: 3
Source: RefSeq, a predicted model, not a curated record
UGUGCUGUGUGCUCUACCAUACACUGUGCUCUACCAUGAUGUGUGCUCAGCCAUGAUGUGUGCUCAACAAUGAUGUGUGCUCGAUCAUAAUGUGUGCUCAACUGUGCUGUAUGCUCUACACAAUGUGACCUCGACCAUGAUGAUUAAGUGCUCGACUGUGCUGUGUGCUCUACCAUCAUACACUGUGCUCUUACCAUGAUGUGUGCUCAACCAUGAUGUGUGCUCGAUCAUAACGUGUGCUCGACUAUGGUAAGUGCUCAACUGUGCUGUGUGCUCUACCAUAAACUGUGCUCUACCAUGAUGUUGCUCUAUCAUGAUACGUGCUCGUGCGAUCAUGAUGUGGGUUUGACCAUGCUGCUGCACUGAUCACUAACAAGCAACAGUGGCAAAAUCCGAAAAUUGCUCUUGCUGGUUUUUGCCAACUCAAGAAAAAUUUUGUGAACAGAGGCAAGGCAAUCAUGACGAGUCAGGAAACGCUUGACAAAGGCAACUGCUUUACAUCAAUUCUUUUCUCAAGCAAACAAGUCGACAAGUUCGUCAUCCAUUCGUCCUCUGCAUCACUGGACGGUGUAUAUGAAAUAAGAAACGUGCAACCUGCACACAUAUCAAUA